Molecule: ribosomal RNA, 100 nt
Filed under: uncultured bacterium
Lineage: Bacteria
Description: partial 16S ribosomal RNA
Source: RNAcentral
CCGUUCGGUUGUAGAGCACUUUUGUCCGGAAAGAAAACAUUCCACUAAUACUGGGGAUGGCUGACGGUACCGGAAGAAUAAGCACCGGCUAACUACGUGC